GAAGUAAUAUUUGUAGUAGCAGUAGUUGUGUCCACAGUCAUGGCAACUUGCGCCAAAUUUCCGAUACCUCGGUUGCCCACGCCGGCGUACAGUGCAAAACGAAUCAAGAAGAUGAAGACGAUGGAGGAGAAGAGAGAGUUAAAGAAAAGGCUGAACAAGAAGAGAGACCAGACGAGGGUCUACAUCGGGAAGGCUUUUUCUAGAUGGCGGCAGCUGCGGGAGCGUUAUGGGCUGAAGAGCGACGAGGAGGUGGCCAUGUUCCUCCUGGACAGCUAUGAUCAACACUGUCUAACAUCAACCACAUGUAAAAGAGGAUUGACACAUAAACUUCCAGCCCAACCUGCUUCAGGCAUUUAUUGCAGUUUCUCUGUGGUCGGUCCUACAAGCUAGAAGAAGGAAGAAGAGGUUUUUAUAUUUUACCCUGUCACUGCAGUCGAGAUGUUCGGGCAAGUUUAUUAUUUUAAAGUUUUAUUUAUCUAUUUAUUUUGUAGCUGAAAUGAUUCAAACAUACAGGUAAACUUUGAAAUUCAUCUCGUGUGUCCAAGUAUGAUUGCUCUCUGAUAUGUUCCUACAAUAAGAUGACAUCAACCCUUAACGACUGAGUGAAAUUACCAACAUGCAGUUUAAUUUGUGUGACCUGUUCAAACUGAAGAUCUAUAACCUGCACAACAUACAGACCCUCGUACGCCACUUGUGUGUAAAGGCCCAGUUUGAGCUGCUGUGGAAGUCACUCACCCUCUGUGUAAAGUUGAAGUCAAUCUGAAGAGGUAAAAGAUGAAGUGAUGAGGAGUUCAAACUGCUGCAUCUGCUGGCUCUCAUUGUCAUAUUUGUUUUUAAUUGAAUGUUGUCUUGACAACCAGAGUUCCCGGCUGCAGGUUUGCUCCUCCUGUGGGUCAGAAUGUUGAAAAUUAAACAUACAAAUGUUAAAUAUCUGUUACUUUCCAACAUAUCUUAUAAUUCUUUGUUGAAAAAAGAAAGACAAGGAACAGUGUAUAGUAAACAACACCGUUUAAAAAGCUUCUCUGUAAAUGACAGGUGAGGCUUGAAUUGCUGUUAAUUGUUUUGCACUUUGUUUUCUUAUUGUUUAUACUAUGAAAAUAGCUGUUCCAGAUGUUUUGAAUCACAAAAUGAUAUAGAAAAAUGUUAUUAAAAGAA
Epinephelus fuscoguttatus (brown-marbled grouper) is the source of this 1155-nucleotide long non-coding RNA. RefSeq lists it as uncharacterized. The transcript is spliced from 3 exons. NCBI's taxonomy places the organism in Eukaryota, Metazoa, Chordata, Actinopteri, Perciformes, Serranidae. The record is from RefSeq and is a predicted model, not a curated record.